UACGGAGGGGGCUAGCGUUGUUCGGAAUUACUGGGCGUAAAGCGCGCGUAGGCGGACCUGCAAGUCGGGGGUGAAAGCCCGAGGCUCAACCUCGGAACUGCCUUCGAUACUGCGGUCGUCGAGUCCGGAGAGGUGAGUGGAAUUCCGUAGUGUAGAGGUGAAAUUCGUAGAUAUUAGGAAGAACACCAGUGGCGAAGGCGGC
This 202-nucleotide ribosomal RNA is filed under the name uncultured bacterium. RNAcentral's name for it is "partial 16S ribosomal RNA". It matches the Rfam family "Bacterial small subunit ribosomal RNA", at positions 524 to 725 of the family's 1533-position model. The record is from RNAcentral.